UGGGGAAUCUUCCGCAAUGGGCGCAAGCCUGACGGAGCAACGCCGCGUGAAUGAAGAAGGCCUUCGGGUCGUAAAGUUCUGUCAUCAGGGACGAAGUCUCUGUGUGCAAAUAGUGCAUAGAGGUGACGGUACCUGAGGAGGAAGCUCCGGCUAACUACGUGCCAGCAGCCGCGGUAAUACGUAGGGAGCAAGCGUUGUCCGGAAUUACUGGGCGUAAAGGGCGCGUAGGCGGGUUAUUAAGUCAGAUGUGAAAACUCCGGGCUUAACUUGGAGACUGCAUUUGAAACUGGUAAUCUUGAGGUCAGGAGAGGAAAGUGGAAUUCCUAGUGUAGCGGUGAAAUGCGUAGAUAUUAGGAGGAACACCAGUGGCGAAGGCGACUUUCUGGACUGUACCUGACGCUGAUGCGCGAAAGCGUGGGGAGCAAACAGG
This 430-nucleotide ribosomal RNA is filed under the name uncultured prokaryote. RNAcentral describes it as "bacterial SSU rRNA". It matches the Rfam family "Bacterial small subunit ribosomal RNA", at positions 355 to 776 of the family's 1533-position model. The record is from RNAcentral. RNAcentral also lists the same sequence under 1 other name.